RNAcentral lists this ribosomal RNA (212 nucleotides) under uncultured Staphylococcus sp. RNAcentral's name for it is "partial 16S ribosomal RNA". It matches the Rfam family "Bacterial small subunit ribosomal RNA", at positions 150 to 355 of the family's 1533-position model. Lineage: Bacteria; Bacillati; Bacillota; Bacilli; Caryophanales; Staphylococcaceae. The record is from RNAcentral.
CGGGAAACCGGAGCUAAUACCGGAUAAUAUAUUGAACCGCAUGGUUCAAUAGUGAAAGACGGUUUUGCUGUCACUUAUAGAUGGAUCCGCGCCGCAUUAGCUAGUUGGUAAGGUAACGGCUUACCAAGGCAACAAUGCGUAGCCGACCUGAGAGGGUGAUCGGCCACACUGGAACUGAGACACGGUCCAGACUCCUACGGGAGGCAGCAGUC